AAAGAUAUGGAUUUUACUUGGCAUAUUAUUUUAUUAAAGAAUUUUAGAAUAGUUAAGAAAGAAGGCCUCGUAUUACUUUAGGGUUUUACUUUAAGGUAAUAUAACCAUGUUGCGUCUUGAUCUCGGGGCAUGACAAAAAUAUGUGCUCCAAACCAGUCUGUAUCCACAAGCAGAAUUCCUUCUGUAUUUACUCAAGCAUUUUGCAUUAUGAUCAUAAUAUUUAUACAAACUGGUUUGAGUGAAUGAUGCCUUUCUAAAUGUUGAUAAUUCAACUUUUCACCUAGUGCUGAUUGUUAAGCAAUACUAUUUUUUUUUUCCAUUUAAUUUCAUUUUCCUUGCAGGCACUUGUGGGUGAAUACUGAGUACAUUGUAAUUUCUUUUUCAAACUUGCUGGUGCAUUUAUCCUUACAUUCACAGAUGCUGGGGUAUGUAUCUUAUUGGUGUUCAGGUGGGCUGCUGUCCCUUCUUUGGAAAUCGUUAUUCUGCAAUGCAGAGAAGCAAUGAUGGAACAUGAAUUAGAGUCUGGCUUCUUUCUAUCAUGUUUUGGUUUUUAACAUUGCCUCUGGAUGGGCAUGUUGAAAGAAUUUCACCUAGAAUGAUGGGAAAUAUUCAUCAAUUAGAUUUACUAAUUUGUAGGAGUAUCUUUGCAAGUAACAAUCAUGAUUCACGAAACCACUAUAUGCAAUUUCUGCAUUGCAACCUGGUUUAUGUUACUUGGGUGUUGGCACAAAAUCUGCAGGUUAUUCUUAUUUUCUCCCUUAUUUAAAUAUUUUCAACAUUCGUCAUCCCUGUGGUAUUAAGUUUGUGACAGUUAGAAGCUGUCAUCAAUGUGAAAUAUUCCUCUUCCUAAAAUAUAUAAGGUCAGGAUUUAAUCAUUGAUUAAUAUUUUCUUUUUCUUUAUUUGUGAUUGGGUACUUAAUGAACUAUUGGUGUCUUAAAUUUAGAACUCUAGAAAGCAUUUUGUGUUUAAAAAGAGGCUUGGUUGAUACUGAUUCAAUGAUAAUAUAUU
Molecule: non-coding RNA, 1009 nt
Organism: Durio zibethinus
Lineage: Eukaryota; Viridiplantae; Streptophyta; Magnoliopsida; Malvales; Malvaceae
Source: RefSeq, a predicted model, not a curated record